This 772-nucleotide ribosomal RNA is filed under the name uncultured bacterium. RNAcentral's name for it is "bacterial SSU rRNA". It matches the Rfam family "Bacterial small subunit ribosomal RNA", at positions 8 to 796 of the family's 1533-position model. The record is from RNAcentral.
AGAGUUUGAUCCUGGCUCAGAGCGAACGCUGGCGGCGUUAACACAUGCAAGUCGAACGGGUGUAGCAAUACACUCGUGGCGAACGGGUGCGUAACACGUGGAUAACCUUCCUUCAGGUGGGGAAUAACCCAGCGAAAGUUGGGCUAAUACCGCAUAACAAGACGAUGGCACAUGCUGUUGUUUUCAAAGGAGCAAUUCGCCAGAAGAGGGAUCCGCGGCCGAUUAGCUAGUUGGCGAGGUAAAGGCUCACCAAGGCAAUGAUCGGUAGCCGGUCUGAGAGGAUGAUCGGCCACACUGGAACUGAGACACGGUCCAGACUCCUACGGGAGGCAGCAGUGGGGAAUCUUGCGCAAUGGGCGAAAGCCUGACGCAGCAACGCCGCGUGGGGGAUGAAGCUUCUCGGAGUGUAAACCCCUUUCGACCCGGACGAAUGCCCGCAAGGGUUUGACGGUACGGGUAUAAGAAGCCCCGGCUAACUACGUGCCAGCAGCCGCGGUAAAACGUAGGGGGCCAGCGUUGCUCGGAAUUACUGGGCGUAAAGGGUCCGUAGGCGGUGUGGCAAGUCGGAAGUGAAAUCUCCGGGCUUAACUCGGAGGCUGCUCCCGAAACUGCCGUGCUAGAGGAUGAGAGAGGCGAGUGGAAUUGCGGGUGUAGCGGUGAAAUGCGUAGAUAUCCGCAGGAACAUCCGAGGCGAAAGCGGCUCGCUGGAUCAUUUCUGACGCUGAGGGACGAAAGCUAGGGGAGCAAACAGGAUUAGAUACCCUAGUAGUCC